UGAUAGUCACUGGGCACGAGGAUGCAGAAACUGCCUGCAAGAACAAAAACUGAGAGAAAUGUGGAGUCGCUCGCACGUCUGGAAAUAAUUGCCUGCAGAUUAACAGCUUUCCAUGGGAAUAUGCUGUCUGUGGGGUUCGAAAUCUAGCUGACUUUAAACCGAGUUCCCAGAAGAAACCUAUCUGAGGAGCAUCUGCAAUUACACUCAAACUACUGGGUUUCUAUUCGCCGCUUUCUUCUACUUCGUGCCCAACAUUAAUGUUAAGUUUAAAACAACAAAGGAGGAAAUGGAGUGGCCUUGUCAAGCGCCAUUUCCACUCCCCGACAAUUAAAGCAGCCCCAUAUGGCUGAGAGGAGCCAUCCAGCCACACAAUGCCCCAUGCAGGGCAAAGCCACAUGGACUCAGACCAGCUUAAAGCCAAUUGCAAAACAAAGCAGAGCCGGUUUCUUCCUCAGGAAACAAAGUGGCCGAGCAGGUCUCCUGUCACUAUCUUAAAACACCAGUAAACAUCGUUAAAGAAGUUCCCCCACACACUGUCCCAAUUAGCGCUUCAAAGGCAUUCCAUUGUACCAAGCGUAAUGAAAAAGCACUUUCUUCCAGGAUAAGGAAAAUGCAAUCCUUAUCUCAUUUGCUUUUAAAAAACAGAAUUAAACACAGCAGUCUGAUUACCCGAACUGUUUAUAUAUAGAACAGGGAGGUAAAGCAUUUGCUAUGGAGAGAAAUAGGAAAAAAAUAACAACCAACUGAAAAAAAAAACCCCAAAACCCCAACCCUGCAGCCUUUAGAGCAUUCGGAACUUCCCAGGUCAAUAACAACCUACCCACGCCUCACCUACCGAGUCGAUCCAACUUUUUCUGAAAAAAAAACCCCAAAAAACUGGAGCAACGCGAAGCGGAAAAGAGAAUUAAGCCAAGCCUUUCCUCCAUCCAGGCAGUUAUCGUUGGCCAGGGCAGGUGAUGCAGCCAGCUUGGACCACAAAUCCCUCAGGAUGGAAGUUGUUCAAACAGUGCAGAGCAGCAUCUGGCAGUCUGAGCACAGCAACAGAACUGGAGACUAUUCUUGAAUCUCAGACACUGUCUUGCAAAUCCAACACAAACCAACUUCCGAAUUCAGCAGUGUGGGAGAUGGCAGAGAAAUCAUCUCGAGUCCCAUCUGUUUGUACACAGCAUUCUGGAGAUCCUUGAAUGAGCAGAACAGCCACAGCACUCAAUCACCGACAUCAGAGACAACUCAACUUUCACUAAUUGGCUUUCCUAGGAGAUAUGGAGAUCUGCCCCCAUUUCAGAGACUAAAAUAAAAAACAUGCACAGAGUACGGCCUCA
Molecule: long non-coding RNA, 1322 nt
Filed under: Parus major (Great Tit)
Lineage: Eukaryota; Metazoa; Chordata; Aves; Passeriformes; Paridae
Description: lncRNA (ENSPMJG00000014807.1)
Source: RNAcentral